This 300-nucleotide unclassified non-coding RNA is filed under the name Glomus sp. RNAcentral's name for it is "partial contains 5.8S ribosomal RNA and internal transcribed spacer 2". The stretch from base 1 to 72 matches the Rfam family "5.8S ribosomal RNA", at positions 84 to 154 of the family's 154-position model. Lineage: Eukaryota; Fungi; Glomeromycota; Glomeromycetes; Glomerales; Glomeraceae. The record is from RNAcentral.
GUGAAUCAUCGAAUCUUUGAACGCAAAUUGCACUCUCCGGUUUUCCGGGAGAGUAUGCCUGUUUGAGGGUCAGCCUAAAAAAAAUCGACAUUGUUUCUGUUUUAUGAUGACUUUCGUUUGAGAUGUGUUAUCUUUAAUCUCGGUUUAAUCUACUUAAUAAUUUUUUUUACUAUUCUAAGAAUAUUUCUAAUAUUUUUAUUGUACGUUUAAGGUAUCGAAUUUCUUAUUAGACUUGGCCGUCAUGUCGGAUCUUGUCCAUAAUUUUUUUCGUUAACUGAUCUCAGACAGUUAAGAGUACCC